RNAcentral lists this ribosomal RNA (465 nucleotides) under uncultured bacterium. RNAcentral's name for it is "partial 16S ribosomal RNA". It matches the Rfam family "Bacterial small subunit ribosomal RNA", at positions 28 to 507 of the family's 1533-position model. The record is from RNAcentral.
GACGAACGCUGGCGGCGUGCUUAACACAUGCAAGUCGAACGGUGAACUCCGCUUGCGGGGGGAUCAGUGGCGAACGGGUGAGUAACACGUGGGCAACCUGCCCUCAGCUCUGGGAUAACUCCAAGAAAUUGGGGCUAAUACCGGAUAUGACCGCUGACCGCAUGGUCUGGUGGUGGAAAGAUUUAUCGGCUGGGGAUGGGCCCGCGGCCUAUCAGCUUGUUGGUGGGGUAGUGGCCUACCAAGGCGACGACGGGUAGCCGGCCUGAGAGGGUGACCGGCCACACUGGGACUGAGACACGGCCCAGACUCCUACGGGAGGCAGCAGUGGGGAAUAUUGCGCAAUGGGCGAAAGCCUGACGCAGCGGCGCCGCGUGGGGGACGACGGCCUUCGGGUUGUAAACCUCUUUCAGCAGGGACGAAGCGAAAGUGACGGUACCUGCAGAAGAAGCACCGGCCAACUACGUG